AACGAACGCUGGCGGCAUGCCUAACACAUGCAAGUCGAACGAGACCUUCGGGUCUAGUGGCGCACGGGUGCGUAACGCGUGGGAACCUGCCCUUAGGUUCGGAAUAACUCCCCGAAAGGGGUGCUAAUACCGGAUAAUGUCUUCGGACCAAAGAUUUAUCGCCUUUGGAUGGGCCCGCGUUGGAUUAGCUAGUUGGUAGGGUAAAAGCCUACCAAGGCGACGAUCCAUAGCUGGUCUGAGAGGAUGAUCAGCCACACUGGGACUGAGACACGGCCCAGACUCCUACGGGAGGCUGCAGUGGGGAAUAUUGGACAAUGGGCGAAAGCCUGAUCCAGCAAUGCCGCGUGAGUGAUGAAGGCCUUAGGGUUGUAAAGCUCUUUUACCCGGGAUGAUAACGACAGUACCGGGAGAAUAAGCUCCGGCUAACUCCGUG
This 433-nucleotide ribosomal RNA is filed under the name uncultured bacterium. RNAcentral describes it as "partial 16S ribosomal RNA". It matches the Rfam family "Bacterial small subunit ribosomal RNA", at positions 29 to 507 of the family's 1533-position model. The record is from RNAcentral.